Molecule: non-coding RNA, 2631 nt
Organism: Xyrichtys novacula (pearly razorfish)
Lineage: Eukaryota; Metazoa; Chordata; Actinopteri; Labriformes; Labridae
Source: the annotation of a GenBank genome assembly
GUGUGUUGGAGCAGGGAAACAUCCAAAACAUGCAGGACAGUGGGCCUCCAGAACUGGACUUGAGAACCACUGAUGUAGACGACUAGGUCUUCGUGGUUCUCUUUGUGUUAACACAGGUAACAAACACCUUGUACAAAAUGCAUACCACUCCUGUUUGGGCUUCUUUCAUUGGCUCCAGAUAGCCAAAGCUCUGGACUUAAACUCGAAUCUAUGUUUCUGAUCCCCUAACUUCAGACAUGUCCGGUCACGAACUGGAGCCCUCUGACAUAAAAGAUCUGCUGACUUUUGGACUUUUGGUGGGCAAAAUUAUGUCCGAGUCUUGAUUUUCUGGAACAACUGACACCAAGGAGAUCGGGUCAGUCACGUUUUCAUUUUUCCUUUCUUAAAAAUGUCUUUUCCUAAACAUAUUUGUAUAGAUUUGCUUUUGAGGAGACUUUCUCUGAGGAUGUGUUUUAAUCCUCUUAUUCCAGGUUAAGUCUUGAUCACAUUUAGGAUCUUCCUGAUUGUUAAAAGUUUUUACAUUUUUGUUUAUUUUAUUCUUUCAGUGUUACUUUACUUUCUCUAAUCUAAUUGUGUGUUUUUUUUCCUCUGGUGAAAUAAAUAUUUUAAUUUAUCUUUUAUCUACUGCUUAUAUCUUUCAUUUAUUUCUUUAUUGCUAUCUUUUAUCUGUCUCUUAUAUCUUUUUAUCUUUUAUCCAACAUUGUUAUUUUGUUUUAACUUUUAAAUCUUUGUCAUUGUUUGUCUGUCUGAUCCUCUUUUAUGAGCUCUUUUAAGCCCUGUUUAAAAAGUGCAUCAUAAAUUGACUUGGUUUUUGUCUAUUCUUGCACCCCUUGUUUCCCUAUUUAUCGGAGACUGUUUUCUGUUUUUAUCAGGAAUUUUAACUAGACAUUUUGCAGAUAUGCAUCCUAAUCUCUGAUGUAUUUAAAUGUUUCUAAUUAGAGAAAAUAGUGAAAAGAGACAGUCCUUUGUACCAUUCUGAUCUUGUUUGAAGAAGAUUAUUUAUGCUUGUGGUCUUCAUGGAGAACAGUUUACUCAUACCUCUGUAUUCACAUGCGUGAUUCUGUGUCUGAACUCUGCAGCUGAGGUUGAACUUUGUCACUUUUUUUGUCACUGCAGGCGCUCGGAGUGUUUGCAUGAACAGCAGCAGAUCCUGGAGCUCUGCUGCAGAUUUGGGUUCACUGUCCCACUGGGAAAUAAAUAAACUUCUGCUUCAUUUAAAGUCAGAAAAAGGAAAAAAAAAAAAAAAAACCUCUCCAAAAUAAAGAGCCUCUUCAGUCCUAUGAAUGUGAAUGCUGUGAAAGUCACACGCCUGAGAUUUGCUCCCUGUGUGUCACCUCAGAAGAUGAUUGAUUGAUAGAUUUUCCAUCAAAAGGCAGUAAAACAUCCGUCCAAUUCAGGCUGCAGUUUGCCAAUCAUCCUGGCUUUGUAUCUCACACUCAACCUGGACGACAAUAACCUGUUUGUGAGCAUCUACCACUGUUUGUUGUCCUGCCACAUCGGACAUUUUCAAUUUUCCUGCAAUUUGUUGCUGCGAGAGUUUCUCUGCAAUCAUAGAAACAAUUUGAGCCCAAAGUGUUUUUUUCUGAGUUCACAGUUACAAACAAACACCUGUAAGAGCAGCAGCAGCAGCAGCAGCUCCUGUUGGUCUGCAGCACCCACCGACUGCCCACAGUGUUCAGGCAGUACAGAGUGUACAAAACCUGAGUCCAAUUUCUGUUUACCCCUACAUUUCCUCAUUUGAGACCGAAAUAAUGAAGCAGGUGUGGCCACAGAGGAGCUGAUAACAGCUGUAAAAAUGAGCCAUUCAGCUGUAAUCAUUGAAGCUGCAGACAGAACAAGAAAAUUUAACAUUUCAUUAGGUCAGCUGUUCACCAGACAUCAAUGAGGUCCUUAUUUAAAACAUUUUAGAGUCCAGUAGACAUUUGCAAACAUUUCACAAAGUGCUUGAGUCAAGAUUUCCUCAUCGAGUAGCAGAUAAACUGUUGUGGCUGCAACAUCAUUUUUAAAGACGUCUGAAGGCGGAAAAAGCAAAAAACCAACUCCGUAACCUUCAGAGUAAAAUCACUGUUUUUACAGAGUAAGCCUGGAGGCUUUCAGGAAAGCAAUGUUUGUGUGGUAUGGUGGCCCUGGAGUCAACUGCAACGUUUCUUAACCCUAAAUAUAGAACUCAAAAAAAUAAAUAAAAAUAAAAAUAAAAGGAUUUGUUCAGACUCAGAGACGUUUCAAGAAACUUAACAUUAUUCCAUCAAAGGUUUCACUAAUAAAACAAACAAAUCAGCUAGUCAGGUGGUUUUAGACGUUCCUCAAUCCUUUUUAAAAUUGAGAGGAGCUAGAGCAUUUUCUGUCAUGGCUCCCACUUUGUGGAACGCUUUGCCUCCUAAAGUGUGCACUGCUAACAGCCUUUCCACUCUUAAAACACUUCUGAAGACGCACCUGUUUACUUUAACUUUUGGGGAAGUAUAGCUACAUUUAUUGGGUAUUUUAUGUAUGUGCUAUGUUUAUCUAUAUUGUUGUUUUAUGUUUUAAUAUAUUUUAUGCUUUUAUUGUUUUUAUGGUCUCUGGCUAUUUUACUGUAAAGCACUUUGGUAGGCCACUGGCUGUUUUUAAAAGUGCUAUAUAAAUAAAGCUGAC